GAAAAAAAAGAGAAAAAAAAGAAGGCAUAAGGUCUCUCUUCUUCAUUGACAAACACGAGGAACAAUGGCUAUCAAAGGGGACAACUUUUCCACAUUGUGUGCUUUACUUUGGUUCUUUAUCUGAACUCUUUCUUUGGUCAAAAGAGUAACAUUCUUCUCCAUCGUCAUCAUCACCAUCACCGUCAUCAUCAAACACAUUAUGAAGAUCCAAUCUUCUUCCCUAUUACCAAUGCUCUCCUCUCUAACUCAUUAACAGCUUCCUCUUGAAGCUCCAAAAAAGAAAUGAAUGGAAUGAUCAACCCCAGACCAAGAAAAAAGCAAAGAAUUAAAAGCGACAAAAAGGGAUAAUCAUCACUUGUACAUGAACAGUAGGGUCUUCAGCCAAUUUUGCCAAAGCAAUGCACGGAAGAAAAAGAAAAUUAUUAAAAAGGGAAAAUAGAAAAAGACAUGUAAGAAUGGGUUAGCUCAGAACCAUACCUAGUUAUUGGCACACGGAAGGAAGGAGGCUGGAAGAGGAGAAAAAGAAAUGCUAUCCUCUGCCUGCACAGAGGGUCUUCUUCACUUCUCUUCUUUCGGGAC
RNAcentral lists this unclassified non-coding RNA (579 nucleotides) under Hevea brasiliensis (rubber tree). Lineage: Eukaryota; Viridiplantae; Streptophyta; Magnoliopsida; Malpighiales; Euphorbiaceae. The record is from RNAcentral.